GAAAUUUGACAAAGAAAACCCUUAAAGAAAGGAGAGAUGUAUAACCUAUUGCUUAUAAACGAUUUCCAAAUGUAUCUCUGCUGAAAAGACAAGUGUAGGAUCCGUGAGGCUCCCGUGUUGGCGAGCAAUAUUUGAUUCAUAACUUCCUCAGUGGGGUGUGAUAACAUCACGUGUCGUGAGAGUCUCCUUGACCCCGGAUGAGUUGAGAUGGAAGUGAGUCGGACCAGUCUCUCUAGGGAGAAGCCAGAGGAGUAUCAGCGAAGGAUCAUGGGAGAUGAAGUCCAAAGCCAAAUCGAGGCAUGCUACAAAAAUGAACUGGUCAGAGCUGCACAGAGCGCUCCUGUUUCCCAGAAACCUACAGUGGUGCGGACCAAUGAGGUGGAGGAGAGGGAGCGCUACAGAUACCAGUGGAGGAAGGAGGACAGGCAGAGAAUCGUCGGUGACAGAUUGGAGCUCUUCGUCGCCAUAGUGACAGGGUUGUUGAUGGGGGUUCUGACAGGUGGUUUUGGAGGUGUUGUCAUGGGAGGGUUGACAGGGGCGGUGAUAUGGUUUACAACAGGACUGGUUAGGAACUGGUGGAGCCCCUGAUUCACUGGGAGACACCAUGUGUAGGCUAUGGAUCUACUUAUAUAAAGACAUUUGGAGGAUAAAACUAUUUUAAUGUGUGUAGAUGGAAGGACUUUGGUGAUCAUUUAUCUUGAUGCAUUUAUCAAACUUUAAUUAUGAAUCAUUUGGAAGUGAAUAAAAGCCCAAUAAAGAGAUAAGAAACAGAGAAUAUACUGAUUAUUUUUAAAGAGAGAUGAAACCCUCAUAUUCAUCACCAGUGUUAACCUACAGUACUUCUGUGAAGUCAGUCCUGAUAUGGGUCUGAACCUGUUACUCAUAAAGGGAUUAAAAUAGAGAUUCAUCCAGAAAUCUCUUUCCCUGAUUUCAUCUGACCAAGUAUUCAGAUAUCAUGUGACAGUAGUUAUGGCCAAUGAAAGACCUUCAUCCUACCCUGUAAAAUCCUUACAAAUAACGGCAACAAGAACCAAUGACUAGAUCACCAUAUAUACAUGAUCAAAUCAUCGUUACUGUAAAAAAACAGAACCCCGAUCCAGUGACUCACAACCCAACACAUUCUGGCUAAGAUCACGUCCCGUAUCCAGAAAGCAUCUCAGAGUAGGAGUACUGAUCUAGGAUCUGUCCAUAUAUUCAUUAUGAUCUAAAAGUCCAAUCUGUCAUGGAAUCAGUAAACCCUGUACUCAUGUUAACACAAAUAUUUAGCCUAAGAUUUGGUCAUUUAAAUGAUAUUUAUGAUUGCUCUUCUGCUGUUCUUACAUGUAAUUCAUUUAGCAGAUGCUCUUAUCCAGAGUGAACCACAGGAGCAAUUAGGUUAAGUGUCUUGCCCAAGAGCAUUUUGACAGAUGUUUCAGCGAGUAGGCUCAGGGAUUCAAACCAGCAACCUCUGGGUUAUUGGCCCAACAUUCUAGUCUACCUGCCGUGAAAGAGGCCUCCACUAAAGACUUAGAACUGACUGUAUAAAUGUCAUUUCAUUUUACAGGCCUGGCAGAUGAUGUUGAAAAUACAUUUCAAAUAGUCUGUUUUCAGUAGUGAUGAAGCUUGUUCAGUUAUAAGAGUUGAAUGGUGCCCCCUGCUGUAUGUUAAUGGAAUAACAUGAACUUUGAACCCAGUCCCCAACCUUCCUUCUAUUCUACUGUUUUACUUUGAAACGUUGUAUCCACCAGUGUUAUUUCAUAAUGAUUUCCACCCUAUUGUUGAUUUAUCUGAACACACUCUGACGACUACAAUCAUCUUCAAGGCCAAAUGUGUUUUAAUGUCGUUUUUGUCCUCAACCCUACUGUGUUGAUAUUAAUGUAUAGUCAUGUCAUUUACUAUCUACAUGAUGUUUAAGGCAAAUAAAACCUUGAUGGAAAUCAUUAUGAGUUAUUUACUCAUGAUAUUAAAGGCAUUCACAAGGUGUAAUCAUUAUGAGUUAUUUACUCAUGAUAUUAAAGGCAUUCACAAGGUGUAAUCAUUAUGUGUUAUUUACUCAUGAUAUUAAAGGCAUUCACAAGGUGUAAUCAUUAUGUGUUAUUUACUCAUGAUAUUAAAGGCAUUCACAAGGUGUAAUCAUUAUGAGUUAUUUACUCAUGAUAUUAAAGGCAUUCACAAGGUGUAAUCAUUAUGUGUUAUUUACUCAUGAUAUUAAAGGCAUUCACAAGGUGUAAUCAUUAUGUGUUAUUUACUCAUGAUAUUAAAGGCAUUCACAAGGUGUAAUCAUUAUGUGUUAUUUACUCAUGAUAUUAAAGGCAUUCACAAGGUGUAAUCAUUAUGUGUUAUUUACUCAUGAUAUUAAAGGCAUUCACAAGGUGUAA
Molecule: long non-coding RNA, 2357 nt
Organism: Oncorhynchus kisutch (coho salmon)
Lineage: Eukaryota; Metazoa; Chordata; Actinopteri; Salmoniformes; Salmonidae
Exons: 4
Source: RefSeq, a predicted model, not a curated record